This 103-nucleotide microRNA precursor is filed under the name Marmota monax (woodchuck). The record is from RNAcentral. Lineage: Eukaryota; Metazoa; Chordata; Mammalia; Rodentia; Sciuridae.
AGAGUGACAGCUGGGUCAAAUGGUGAUUCCAUUCCCAAUUUUCCAAGAAAUCUCCAUACUGCUUUCCAUAGUGGCUAUACCAAUUAGCAGUCCCACCAGCAGU